Molecule: long non-coding RNA, 150 nt
Organism: Eptesicus fuscus (big brown bat)
Lineage: Eukaryota; Metazoa; Chordata; Mammalia; Chiroptera; Vespertilionidae
Exons: 3
Source: RefSeq, a predicted model, not a curated record
GUGCCCUGCAGGCGCUGAGCGCAGGCCCAGACUCAAGCUACUUCAUCUCACCAACAUCAGAGAGAAUCCACAGCAGAUGGGCUCUGAGUUGCCCCAGAGAGAGGAAGGAAGUGAAAGAUAGAAACAUCACUGAUGAGAGAAUCAUGGACC